This is a long non-coding RNA of Humulus lupulus (European hop), 152 nucleotides long. RefSeq lists it as uncharacterized. Lineage: Eukaryota; Viridiplantae; Streptophyta; Magnoliopsida; Rosales; Cannabaceae. The transcript is spliced from 3 exons. The record is from RefSeq and is a predicted model, not a curated record.
AAAGUUGAACUCUUGAUUGAGGUCUUUGGAGAGGCUCGGGUUAGGGGACUGUGCUCGCGGCCUUGGUGCAUCGGAAAGCUCGGGAUACAGAGUGAACAACGAAGGGCCGGGAACGGCGAAGGGCCGAGAACGGCAGUGGGGCCGGGAAUACC